CAGCAGCCGCGGGAAUACGUAGGGGGCGAGCGUUGUCCGGAAUCAUUGGGCGUAAAGCGCGUGUAGGCGGCCCGGUAAGUCCGCUGUGAAAGUCCAGGGCUCAACCCUGGGAUGCCGGUGGAUACUGUCGGGCUCGAGUCCGGAAGAGGCGAGUGGAAUUCCUGGUGUAGCGGUGAAAUGCGCAGAUAUCAGGAGGAACACCAAUGGCGAAGGCAGCUCGCUGGGACGUGACUGACGCUGAGACGCGAAAGCGUGGGGAGCAAACAGGAUUAGAUACCCCCGUAGUCCCUGUCUCUUAUAC
RNAcentral lists this ribosomal RNA (301 nucleotides) under uncultured bacterium. RNAcentral describes it as "partial 16S ribosomal RNA". It matches the Rfam family "Bacterial small subunit ribosomal RNA", at positions 509 to 807 of the family's 1533-position model. The record is from RNAcentral.